Molecule: non-coding RNA, 1323 nt
Organism: Paramuricea clavata
Lineage: Eukaryota; Metazoa; Cnidaria; Anthozoa; Malacalcyonacea; Plexauridae
Source: the annotation of a GenBank genome assembly
UACAGAAAUAGGGCUAGAGGUCUACUAGAAACCAAACAAAGGCUUUUGAUUAAGACCCCUAGGUUAAAAGUAUUUAAUUAUUUACAUUGAUUGGUCAUGAUCAGAACUUAAAGUAAGUUUAAUAGAAAAAGAAAAAAGAAGAUGAGAUUGAAGAAUUUUUAUAAUGUUUCAAAUAAUGACAAACAUACAAAUAAUGACAAACAUACAUAUAAUAAAAUCUAUGUUUCCGAAUGCAACAGCAAGAAGUGGUUUUUUGAAUUUUUUUUGAAUGUGCAAUAGGAUUUUAAAUUUUUUAAGUCAGUAUUUAACUCAUUCCAGAUAUUUACACCCUUAUUUUGAAGUGAAUGUUUGACAAAAUUAGUUCUGGAGUAUGAUUUAUGAAGUUUGGAUGCGUUUCUUGUAUUGUGUUCAUGUAUUUUGUUGUUAGUAACAUAGUAAUUGGUAAAGUAUUUUGGUAAAUUAUCCAAGUAGUGAUAUCGAAACAUGAAUAAACUGAUCAGAAAGUCAUUAAUUUUUUCAAUGUUAAGAAUCUUUGCUUCAUUGAAUAGUGGUUCAGAAUGCUCAGAAUAUGACUUGAACAUCAUUAAUCGUAUUAUUUUUUUUUGAAUGUUUAUUAAUUUUUGUAGUCGUUUUUUAUAUGUGUUUCCCCAAAUCAAAUUUCCGUAUAUUAAAUAAGGAUAAACUAAAGCAUAAUAGACUAGUUUAAGAGUAUUAAAAUUUGUGAAAUGUCGAAUUUUGGAUAUUAUUCCUGUAGCUUUUAUAACUUUUUUCGUAAUUAAAUCAAUAUGAUCAUUCCAUGUUAAGUGUUCAUCAAUAACAACACCAAGGAAAGUUGUAUUCUUAACUUGUUUUAUUGGUUGUCCAUUUAUUGAUAUUAUUGUAUUAUGUUUAAUCCUUUUGUUUGAUGAUUUAAAUAAAAUAAAUUUUGUUUUAGUUGUGUUUAGUGAUAGUUUAUUACUGCUAAUCCAAUCUGCUAUUUUAUUUAUUUCGUCUUGCAUGAUUAAAUUUAACUCUUUUAAGCAAGAAUGGCUAUGGAAAAUAUUUGUGUCAUCUGCAAACAAUAUUUUGGAAACUAGUUUGCUGCAAUUUUGGAUAUCAUUUAUGUACAAUAAAAAUAAUAGUGGCCCCAAAAUUGAGCCUUGAGGAACACCACUAAUUAUUGUCAUUGCUUCAGACUUAGUGUCAUUAUACUUAACAAUUUGUUUUCUAUUGGCUAGAUAGUUCUCAAACCAUUUAAGAGCAACACCUCUAAUUCCAUAGUAUUCUAAUUUCUUAAUCAGGAUGCUAUGAUUAAUAGUAUCAAAUGCUUUUGACAAGUCAAGG